CCCUUAGAUGUCCUGGGCCGCACGCGCGCUACACUGACAUGUUCAACAAGUUUCUCCUAGUUCGACAGGACUGGGAAAUCUUUGAACGCAUGUCGUGAUAGGGAUAGAUCAUUGCAAUUAUUGAUCUUGAACGAGGAAUUCCUAGUAAACGCGAGUCAUCAGCUCGCAUUGAUUACGUCCCUGCCCUUUGUACACACCGCCCGUCGCACCUACCGAUUGAAUGUUUCGGUGAAGAUUCCGGAUAGGACUGAUUUGAUUUAUUUCAUUUCUGACCUAAAAGCUAUCUAAACCUCAACAUUUAGAGGAAGGUGAAGUCGUAACA
This 322-nucleotide ribosomal RNA is filed under the name uncultured eukaryote. Its description in RNAcentral is "partial 18S ribosomal RNA". It matches the Rfam family "Eukaryotic small subunit ribosomal RNA", at positions 1470 to 1796 of the family's 1831-position model. The record is from RNAcentral.